GGCCAGACACUUUCCUUGGACAAACCAACUCCCUGGGAAAAGUGAGGUGGAUGAGAAUUUAGGAACAGCAUGGAAUAAAACCAAAGAUUUGAUGCCUCUAAGGAAAAGCCUUCCUCAGAUGGUCAGAACUACAUAUCUAAAAGUUUCAGACUGGCUCUUUACUUGUGAUUGUUCAGCAUGCAAGCUUGCCAAGCUGAAGUGCAAGCUUUCCACCUAGAAAAGAAAUUAUAACAACCUAUUAAUUCCUCAAGUUCAUUCAUCUCAAAGUGCAAGUGUAAGAACUGGACCUAUCUCCCCCAAGGGAGGAGACUGAAUCAGGAACUACACUCAGACUGAAUUUGAUCUGAUCUGAAAGGUGAUUUAAGUGCAGCACUCUGUACAGAAAAACACAACUUCAUAUUACCUGAGAAUUUGAGGGGUCCAGAAACUAAUUCUAAUUCCAGAAUUAAUGUGAAUGUCCUUUUUGUACAUUCAGUCCACCAGAGCAGUUAAAAUCAAGAAGAUGUACUCUAAUAAGAACAGUGGGCCAUUUCUCUGGACUUUGCAACCUUCCACAUUAUGCAUGAAUCUAUCCUGCAGCCAUUUGGAGAAGCACUGGGAGCAAAUGAAUUAUGAGUCAUGGGAAGAAGAAAAGACAUGUCACAAAUAUUGAAAUUAAAUGCAAAAGAAAAUGACAAAUACUGGAAAUGUGAGCUGCCUAACAAGCGACAGAUAGUAAAACAUGGCAAAUGCUGGAAAUGGCAAGUAAUACAAGAAGACAAGUACUGGGAAGAAAACACAGUAAAAUAAAAGAAUGAAAACAUGUACAGAACUAAUGGUAUCAUUGAUCCUAAAGAAUUUUGAAAAGCACGGGCUUUUGAAAAUAUAUGCAGAAAAAGAAAAUAAGAAUAUUUAAAAUGAGCUGGAAAAUAUACAUCUGAGAAGUUGCUGCAGCAUAGUAUGAACUUCCUUCUGAAUAGCAACUCUGAUUAUCUAUUUCAAUAACAAGAAGGGCAGUGAUUAAUGAAAAUUCUGCAUGUGGGAUAUGAUUAGGGAAGAGAAACCCAGCUUUUCCAAUAAAAGCAAGAUCUGUCCAUACGAGCGACAUCAAGGCUGAGCUGUGACUCACCAGCCAGAGAGGGAAGAGUGAGGAAUGAAAAAGAAGUGGCUCAUCUGUUGGAAGCGAAUUGCCGGAAAUCAGUGCUCCAGGACUGGAUCUGUCAUCUACAUGAUGUAUGAGCCUUCAGAGGCAGAGGCAGAUGUCUGCUGAAGAUACCCACAAAUAGCUAUUCUAAAUUAGUUUGAUGGUAGAAGAGCACAACAAUUCAGCAUUUCAGGACUGCCUAAUCACAGCCCACCCACGUGAUGAUCCUUGGGCAAUAUCUUUAUCGUGAGUCUGCUUUGUUCAUCCUGGGUAAAAUGGUUUGGAGCAGAAAAGGUCCUGUCAAUUCCAUACCUACUUACAGGAAGACUGCUGUAAGACAACUACAGUGGUUAUACAAUGUCUAUAGGACUCAUUACAUGGAUGAAGUACACAGCCACACACACUUGUUCUCUGCUGCAAGGCUCAGAUCUACCUGAGUUUCGAGGGGUCCUCAUUUGACUUCUAAAUUUAAAGCAUUCCUCUUUUCCAGGCAUCUGGAGAGGCAGAAGAAUAUUGAUUUUUACCAUGUUUCUCAUCAGGAAGACUUGUCCUUCAAGAGAUGUGUUUCAUGAAACCGCCACAGUACUUAACACCUUUCCCUCAGCGGCUGUUCUUUUGCUGUUCUGCCAGUAAGAAGUAAGAUGGAAAAUGCAGGAAAAAGAAAAAAAAAAUCUCACUCUUCAGGAUAUGUCUUCUUUAGCAAAGGCAGAUCAAGCUUUCUCGUACAAGCUUUGGCACUAAGGGGAGGAGAAGGGCAGAGCUAAAUAAGGUUCCCAGGAGCCUGAGCUAUGCUGAGAGAGAACAAAUUGUACUGACAGGUGACUACUCCUCAGGACUUCAUGCAUUUUCUGAAGAGGCCACAAAAACCAUAGCAUCAUAGAAUCAUAAAAUCUCAGAAUCAUAGAAUAUGUUGAGUUGGAAGGGACCUACAAGGAUAAUCGAGUCCAACUCCUGGAUACACACAGGACAACCCAA
Molecule: long non-coding RNA, 2098 nt
Organism: Anas platyrhynchos (mallard)
Lineage: Eukaryota; Metazoa; Chordata; Aves; Anseriformes; Anatidae
Source: RefSeq, a predicted model, not a curated record